CCUACGGGUGGCAGCAGUGGGGAAUAUUGGACAAUGGGCGAAAGCCUGAUCCAGCCAUGCCGCGUGUGUGAAGAAGGCCUUCGGGUUGUAAAGCACUUUCAGUGGGGAAGAAAGCCUUGGGGCUAAUACCCUCGAGGAAGGACAUCACCCACAGAAGAAGCACCGGCUAACUCCGUGCCAGCAGCCGCGGUAAUACGGAGGGUGCGAGCGUUAAUCGGAAUUACUGGGCGUAAAGCGCGCGUAGGCGGUCUGAUAAGCCGGUUGGGAAAGCCCCGGGCUCAACCUGGGAACGGCAUCCGGAACUGUCAGGAUAGAGUGCAGGGGGGGAAGGUAGAAUUCCCGGUGUAGCGGUGAAAGGCGUAGAGAUCGGGAGGAAUACCAGUGGCGAAGGCGGCCUUCUGGACUGACACUGCCGCUGGGGUGCGAAGGCGUGGGUAGCAACAGGAUUAGAUACCCUUGUAGUC
This 464-nucleotide ribosomal RNA is filed under the name Vreelandella stevensii. RNAcentral's name for it is "partial 16S ribosomal RNA". It matches the Rfam family "Bacterial small subunit ribosomal RNA", at positions 338 to 795 of the family's 1533-position model. The record is from RNAcentral. Lineage: Bacteria; Pseudomonadati; Pseudomonadota; Gammaproteobacteria; Oceanospirillales; Halomonadaceae.